UUGCCGACGGUGGCGGCGGGCCAGAUCCGGUGCCUAGCUGGGCGAUUGCGCCUGGUGGAGGUCCAGAUCCAUCCAUGACCGUCUUGUCGCCGGCGUUCUGGCUGCCCCGGCGGACCUCCUCUGUCCGAAGCUGAGACCUUGUGCGGGCAAGUUUUCCAAGAAGUCAGAUAUUUGGAUUUUGGAGUGAAAUGCAAUUUUUGGUCUGCAUAUGAUGGAUAGAUCAAAGCUCGUCGACUAGUACUACGUUCGUCCUCCGCUGUUUUGUUGCUGCAUCUCGAACUGAAAAUGGAAGGAAGUAGUGGAACGUCGCCUUUAGGAGAGCCCACCGUUCCAGUAAUCCCAAACUGUGUACCAACACUAUCAGUUGUGGAAUCGGCCAAUAGUGGUUUGUAGUUCUUGCUUUUGAAGACUACCUGUUCUUUUUGUCUUGCUAUUACUAAAUAAAUAGAAUAGAGUGUUACAUUUACAAAGCAUGUAAGAAAAAUCAUCACCGAUGUUGAAGUGCCGACGUCGCAACAUCUCUAUCUUGUGUUCAAGCGAUCGACUAGAAGCCAGGGACAAGAGGCUCGAGAUGGAUCAGUUCCAUAGAUUCCUUUAGUUGCUGAAAUUCGUCACUUGCCUCCAUCAACAGAGGUAGAUGAAAGUUAUGUGAGAGCAUAUCAUCAUGUGAAACAAAUUGCGCAACUGAAGAAUCUUCAUCUUUUCAAAAGAAAAAUAACCAUUUUGUGGUUCACUCGUUAUAGGUAAUAUUGUUCUUCUCGAACUUAUGACUGCUCCUCAGUGAUUAAACUGUCCAGUGGCUUUCUCUGUCUAGCAUAUACGCAUUUAGGUCGGGCUUUGCAAUGAAUUUGUCUCUAAUUUUCCUUCCAUGUGGUUUGUGCAUCAAACAAUCAAAUGGUAUUGUUGAUGCAUAUUCAUUUCAUUAGAUAACAAUGAUUAAAAAACCGACGUCGAGGCGGUGAGGCGGUGAAGGCAAAACCGACGGGCAGCCACCAGUUUGACUCCUCCUCGGAGGUGUGGUGUAAGUUAUCCAUCCAUUUUCCGUACUCUCUCUUUUCCACGAUUUGAAUUCUGGGCUUAGGCUUCUACGGUUAGGGUUUAACCCUUCGACGCAACAGUG
Long non-coding RNA from Triticum dicoccoides, 1120 nucleotides. RefSeq lists it as uncharacterized. NCBI's taxonomy places the organism in Eukaryota, Viridiplantae, Streptophyta, Magnoliopsida, Poales, Poaceae. The record is from RefSeq and is a predicted model, not a curated record. The transcript has 3 exons.